GACGAACGCUGGCGGCGUGCCUAAUACAUGCAAGUCGAACGCUGAAGGAGGAGCUUGCUUCUCUGGAUGAGUUGCGAACGGGUGAGUAACGCGUAGGUAACCUGCCUGGUAGUGGGGGAUAACUAUUGGAAACGAUAGCUAAUACCGCAUAAUAGCAGUUGUUGCAUGAUAACUGUUUGAAAGGUGCAAUUGCACCGCUACCAGAUGGACCUGCGUUGUAUUAGCUAGUUGGUGGGGUAACGGCUCACCAAGGCGACGAUACAUAGCCGACCUGAGAGGGUGAUCGGCCACACUGGGACUGAGACACGGCCCAGACUCCUACGGGAGGCAGCAGUAGGGAAUCUUCGGCAAUGGACGGAAGUCUGACCGAGCAACGCCGCGUGAGUGAAGAAGGGUUUCGGAUCGUAAAGCUCUGUUGUAAGAGAAGAACGAGUGUGAGAGUGGAAAGUUCACACUGUGACGGUAGCUUACCAGAAAGGGACGGCUAACUACGUG
This 495-nucleotide ribosomal RNA is filed under the name uncultured bacterium. Its description in RNAcentral is "partial 16S ribosomal RNA". It matches the Rfam family "Bacterial small subunit ribosomal RNA", at positions 28 to 507 of the family's 1533-position model. The record is from RNAcentral.